CAACUAUACGGCGAAACUGCGAAUGGCUCAUUAUAUAAGUUAUCGUUUAUUUGAUAGCACCUUACUACUCGGGUAACCGUGGUAAUUCUAGAGCUAAUACGUGCUGAAAAUCCCAACUCCGGAAGGGAUGUAUUUAUUAGAUUAAAAGCCAAUGCCCUCUGGGCUCUCUGGUGAUUCAUGAUAACUGCUCGAAUCGCACGGCCUUGCGCCGGCGAUGGUUCAUUCAAAUUUCUUCCCUAUCAACUUUCGAUGUUUGGGUAGUGGCCAAACAUGGUUGCAACGGGUAACGGAGGGUUAGGGCUCGACCCCGGAGAAGGAGCCUGAGAAACGGCUACUACAUCCAAGGAAGGCAGCAGGCGCGCAAAUUACCCAAUCCCGACACGGGGAGGUAGUGACAAUAAAUACUGAUACAGGGCUCUUUCGGGUCUUGUAAUUGGAAUGAGUACAAUUUAAAUCCCUUAACGAGGAACAAUUGGAGGGCAAGUCUGGUGCCAGCAGCCGCGGUAAUUCCAGCUCCAAUAGCGUAUAUUAAAGUUGUUGUGGUUAAAAAGCUCGUAGUUGAACCUUGGGCCUGGCUGGCCGGUCCGCCUCACCGCGUGCACUGGUCCGGCCGGGCCUUUCCCUCUGCGGAACCCCAUGCCCUUCGCUGGGCGUGGCGGGGAAACAGGACGUUUACUUUGAAAAAAUUAGAGUGCUCCAGGCAGGCCUAUGCUCGAAUACAUUAGCAUGGAAUAAUGAAAUAGGACGCGCGGCUCUAUUUCGUUGGUUUCUAGGACCGCCGUAAUGAUUGAUAGGGACAGUCGGGGGCGUCAGUAUUCAACUGUCAGAGGUGAAAUUCUUGGACCAGUUGAAGACUAACUACUGCGAAAGCAUUCGCCAAGGAUGUUUUCAUUAAUCAGGAACGAAAGUUAGGGGAUCGAAGACGAUCAGAUACCGUCGUAGUCUUAACCAUAAACUAUGCCGACUAGGGAUCGGGCGAUGUUAUUUUUUGACUCGCUCGGCACCUUACGAGAAAUCAAAGUGCUUGGGCUCCAGGGGGAGUAUGGUCGCAAGGCUGAAACUUAAAGGAAUUGACGGAAGA
Molecule: ribosomal RNA, 1081 nt
Filed under: Ophiocordyceps oecophyllae
Lineage: Eukaryota; Fungi; Ascomycota; Sordariomycetes; Hypocreales; Ophiocordycipitaceae
Description: SSU rRNA
Rfam family: Eukaryotic small subunit ribosomal RNA
Source: RNAcentral